UACAGAGGGUGCAAGCGUUGUUCGGAAUUAUUGGGCGUAAAGCGCGUGUAGGCGGCUUUGCAAGUCGGGUGUGAAAGCCCUCAGCUCAACUGAGGAAGUGCGCCCGAAACUGCAGAGCUUGAGUGCCGGAGAGGAUGGCGGAAUUCCCCAAGUAGAGGUGAAAUUCGUAGAGAUCGGGAGGAACAUCAGUGGCGAAGGCGGCUAUCUGGACCGACAUUGACGCUGAGGCGCGAAAGCGUGGGGAGCAAACAGG
This 253-nucleotide ribosomal RNA is filed under the name uncultured bacterium. Its description in RNAcentral is "partial 16S ribosomal RNA". It matches the Rfam family "Bacterial small subunit ribosomal RNA", at positions 524 to 776 of the family's 1533-position model. The record is from RNAcentral.